GGAAGGUUGUCCGAAUUGGUAAGGAAGCGGACUGCUAAUCCGUAGUCGGACUAAUAAUUCGACUUGUGGGUUCGAGUCCCACACCUUCCGCCA
RNAcentral lists this transfer RNA (93 nucleotides) under Alkaliphilus sp. B6464. RNAcentral describes it as "tRNA-Ser". It matches the Rfam family "tRNA". Rfam says of the family: Transfer RNA (tRNA) molecules are approximately 80 nucleotides in length. Their secondary structure includes four short double-helical elements and three loops (D, anti-codon, and T loops). The record is from RNAcentral. Lineage: Bacteria; Bacillati; Bacillota; Clostridia; Peptostreptococcales; Natronincolaceae.